Long non-coding RNA from Balaenoptera acutorostrata (minke whale), 1419 nucleotides. RefSeq lists it as uncharacterized. The transcript is spliced from 2 exons. The record is from RefSeq and is a predicted model, not a curated record. NCBI's taxonomy places the organism in Eukaryota, Metazoa, Chordata, Mammalia, Artiodactyla, Balaenopteridae.
GGGGCGAGAGAGCGGAGCUCGGGCAGGGCCAGGCCGCAGCAGCGGAGGGGGCGCGGAGAAGCGCAGGCCCUGCCCAGCCCAGGCAGCCAGCGCUGGGGGAACGACGCGACGCGAGGCAGGAGCGCCCAGAGGAAGCCGCCCGCGGCCAGACCGGGCCUGGAGGCCGAGACGCGGGGCCGCGGCGCCUCCCAGUCACGUCUGGGCACGCACCUCCUCGCAGCAGGGGCGCUCCGGUGAGCCAGUCCGGUCACUUCAGAUCGUCUCUCCCCGAUUGCGGCGCCUGACUGACCCGGAUAUAAAUCCGCGGAGGGGGCGACCCGCGCCUCCGGAGUCGCACUGCGCCUGCGUCACUCAGACACGCGCCCCGCCCCCUGUUCGUGCUCCUCCCACCCCAGUGACUAGGCAACGCGGCAGGCCGUAGUUGCGCAGGCGCGGGGCGGUGGCCGCGCCUCUCAAACGCCUGACGCCCGCCCCUCGCGAAGCACGUGCGCCUGACGUUAUUUCCUGUUAUUCUCUUAACUCGCCCCUCCCUCCGCAAAGGGUUCGCUAUGGAACGGAUUUUGGGGUGUGCCUCCUUCCUCCUCUCGGUCAGGUGAGUGGGUGGGCGUUGACCUUCGCUGCCGAGCUGCCUCCACUUCCCCGGGUCUCCCUGUGCUUGGUGCUCCACCUGGAGUCAGCGAGGCUGCGGAAUUCCGCGGGGUGAGGCCAGGGUGGGGGGAUUUUCACAGCGACGGAGCCCGUCUGAGCGCUUGGCCCAAGCCUCCUCGAUGCUCGAAUCUGGACGGCCUGCGACAUCUCCAGGGCUCCGACACCAACCCAGGACUCCCGGGGAUCUUCCAGGGCUGCAGAGACGCAAGGAAGUAUCGGACACGGUCAGGACCGUGAACGUGACGCCGGAAUUGGAACUGAAAUGCCUUCGCUUUAAUACGCCUGUUGUUUGACUUGAGGCAACUGCAUUUCCCCCUCUGGGCCUCAGUUUCUCCAUUCCGUUAAGUGAGGACCUUGGACUGUUUCAGCGAAUAUCGUUUUUUUCAGGCGUGGACUCCUUUGAGAAUCCGGAGAGGCUCAGUAACUGACAAGGGAUGAAAAAAACCUAUUGGGACUUCCCUGGUGGCACAGUGGUUAAGAAUCCGCCUGCCAAUGCAGGGAACACGGGUUCGAGCCCUGGUCCGGGAAGAUCCCACAUGCCGCGGAGCAGCUAAGCCCAUGGGCCACAACUACUGAGCCUGCGCUCUAGAGCCCGCGAGCCACAACCGCUGAAGCCUGCAGUGCCUAGAGCCUGUGCUCCGCAGCAAGAGGAGCCACUGCAACGCAGAGUAGCCCCUGCUUGCUGAUAGAGAAAGCCUGCGUGCAACAAUGAAGACUGAACACAGCCAAAAGUAAAUAAAAUAAAUAAAUUUAUUUUUAAAAAAAAGAAAA